Molecule: long non-coding RNA, 1646 nt
Organism: Cuculus canorus (common cuckoo)
Lineage: Eukaryota; Metazoa; Chordata; Aves; Cuculiformes; Cuculidae
Exons: 10
Source: RefSeq, a predicted model, not a curated record
GUUCAACACAGGUGGAUGGAGAAUGUGCCUCAGGAAAUAACGUGUUCUCUCUGGAGGUGUUAAGAGCUCAGAUUUAAAUCGGCUUUGAGAUAGCAUUGAAAGACUAAGGUAAAUGGUAAAACAUAUGUUGACUGAGUUUGAAGCAAGAUGGGUCUGCAAUGACUCUGCAAAGAUGCCGUUUAGAUACAAUCUCCUGAAUUUGGCUCUUCUUCGCUGUAUGUCUUAGUGCAAAAACUUGUCUUAUGGGGUCCUAUAAUUACUUUCAACAUCUUUUUACAAUGGUGUGCAUUUUUUGAAUACAGCAUUAUGGAAUGACGCAGGAAGGAAAAGGAAACAAACCCUUCAUGUGUUGUCUGAGCCCAGCAGGGAAAUAGAAGUGCUCUCCGAAAAGAGAGAAAAUAAAUAAAAAUGCAAACAAAAAAAGGAAUGAAUCCUCCACGUUUAUUUAAGAACACCUGAACGCCAUUUAGAUAGCUCCCGAGGAAUUCACUAACCGCUAGAUGACCCCUACAUGCACUGGGAUACACCAGACUGGGAAGAAGAAAUCUCAGCUGCCCCAUCCUCCGACGUUCUCAUGGGACACAAUAGAUCUUCUUCAUGGAGACAGGAGCAAUUUUCAGCAGCUGACCUCUCUUUGCAACGUACCUGGGGAAAGCUCUGGAAUGCUCGCUUCAGUCUGCGUCAGCCGUGUGCAAAAAUACCUCCCAGAGUUGAACAGUGAUGAGAGCAGCUAUUCUGUGAUGGGAAAGCGGGGUAACCCCUAAGUAUAACCAAAGGGUGAUAGCAGGAUAUGUUUAAUAUAUUCCACUUAAGGAAGUAUUGCUGUUUACAAAGACGACGAGAUCUUCGUGCCCUUUUGACGGUUAAAGCAGAAAUGUAAAGGAUGUAAAUGACUUUCCACAGGAGCUGUAGAUCAAACCAAAUGUGGUAGACGGUGUGGAAUCAGUUUGCUGCUGCUGAAGCCAAUGACUUUCAUAGGUGUUUCCUGAAGCAGUUAAUGUGAUUACAGCCCUCUCAAGCUCUACAAACACCUGAAGGACAUUUGCUGGUUGCAGACCUGACUGCUAAUGGACUUGAAAAAGCCGUUAAGGAGAGUCUAGAGGUCAAACUGAAGCACCUCAGAGGUAGAGGUUGUGGGGCUGGCGCAGGGUGUGGCUGUGGUGGGAUGCUCCUCGGCAGCGAUGGGCACCACCUGGAGCUGGGGUCACAGCUGCCGCCCACACUGAGCCCCUCCCCAGCCUGAGCAGCGUAAAAGGAGGUGCUAUGGGAGGGUUUGUUCGCUCAUGGCUGUGUAGCUCCGCUGCACGCUGAGUACCGUUGUUCUGGAGAGCCACCAUCACCUCCUGCUCCUUCACUCGCAGCUCCGUGGCCCAUCAAGGUAAGGACAACGCUGCUUUCUGAUGGUUUUGAUACGUCGUAUGGAGUCCUGUGUGUUGUUUGGUCCUGUUUGGAGGAUUUAAACUGAACUUUUGCAGUGCUCGUAAUGGAGAGGUGUGAGGCUGUGGUGUGCCUCUGGGUCAGCUGGAGCCUUGUGGUGUGCUUGCCCAGGUCUCUUCUUUCUUGUGGUUAAAUGGGACCCAAUGGCUUUAAAUUGGGUAAAUCCAGGUUUGGUUGGAAUGAAGCUGUGGAUGGCUUUAAAUGGAGAA